RNAcentral lists this ribosomal RNA (460 nucleotides) under uncultured bacterium. RNAcentral's name for it is "partial 16S ribosomal RNA". It matches the Rfam family "Bacterial small subunit ribosomal RNA", at positions 338 to 795 of the family's 1533-position model. The record is from RNAcentral.
CCUACGGGUGGCUGCAGUGAGGAAUAUUGGUCAAUGGGUGCGAGCCUGAACCAGCCAAGUCGCGUGAGGGAAGACGGUCCUAUGGAUUGUAAACCUCUUUUGUCGGGGAGCAAAAGACGCCACGCGUGGGCUUAGCGAGAGUACCUGAAGAAAAAGCAUCGGCUAACUCCGUGCCAGCAGCCGCGGUAAUACGGAGGAUGCGAGCGUUAUCCGGAUUUAUUGGGUUUAAAGGGUGCGUAGGCGGAAUAUCAAGUCAGCGGUAAAAAUUCGGGGCUCAACCCCGUCGUGCCGUUGAAACUGAUGUUCUUGAGUGGGCGAGAAGUAUGCGGAAUGCGUGGUGUAGCGGUGAAAUGCAUAGAUAUCACGCAGAACUCCGAUUGCGAAGGCAGCAUACCGGCGCCCAACUGACGCUGAAGCACGAAAGCGUGGGUAUCGAACAGGAUUAGAUACCCGGGUAGUC